UUAAAAUAAUAUAUAAAUAUAAUAUAUUUUAAUUAUAUGUAGGCUGAAUGAGUAAUCUGAGUUUAGAUAAAAAUGGGCUAAUAUUGCUGGCCCACAAAACAAACCCAAUAGACAAAUAAAAAGUCAAAAUUCUACUAAAUUUACACUCUCCCCCUCUCUUUCUUUCAUAUAUCUCUAAAUCCUUAAUCUCUUUCUCUCUCUCUUUUCUCUGUCUGUCUGUCUCUCACCCUAA
Molecule: long non-coding RNA, 232 nt
Filed under: Ananas comosus (pineapple)
Lineage: Eukaryota; Viridiplantae; Streptophyta; Magnoliopsida; Poales; Bromeliaceae
Description: long non-coding RNA (ACOM_LNC036599)
Source: RNAcentral